UACGGAAGGCAGCAGUGGGGAAUAUUGCACAAUGGGCGCAAGCCUGAUGCAGCCAUGCCGCGUGUAUGAAGAAGGCCUUCGGGUUGUAAAGUACUUUCAGUCGUGAGGAAGGUGUUAAGGUUAAUAACCUUAGCAAUUGACGUUAGCGACAGAAGAAGCACCGGCUAACUCCGUGCCAGCAGCCGCGGUAAUACGGAGGGUGCGAGCGUUAAUCGGAAUUACUGGGCGUAAAGGGCACGCAGGCGGUUAAUUAAGUUGGAUGUGAAAUCCCCGGGCUUAACCUGGGAAUGGCAUUCAAGACUGGUUAGCUAGAGUCUUGUAGAGGGGGUAGAAUUCCGAUGUGUAGCGGUGAAAUGCGUAGAGAUGUGGAGGAAUACCGGUGGCGAAGGCGGCCCCUGGACAAAGGACUGACGCUCAUGUGCGAAAGCGUGGGGAGCGAAACAGGGAUUAGA
Molecule: ribosomal RNA, 452 nt
Filed under: uncultured bacterium
Lineage: Bacteria
Description: bacterial SSU rRNA
Rfam family: Bacterial small subunit ribosomal RNA
Source: RNAcentral